AAGCAAGAUCACAACCGACUUCAUGAUGAGUUCUUGGAGCUCUAAAGUCCAAAGAAUCAAUCUGAAACAGAAUAUGAAAAUGUUAGUUUUCCGAAAGUUCUAUGUAAAUGAUCAGGUCUCGUCUAUUUAUAGAUUUCUAUAAAUUAGACGCUCCUGUAGUCGAAUAUGCUACUAAUAGAGUUGACUGUAUUAUAACAGUUAAGACAUAAUAGAAGCAAUCCAAUCAAACUAAUUAAUCUGCCAGCUUUAUUUCA
Molecule: long non-coding RNA, 254 nt
Filed under: Vigna radiata
Lineage: Eukaryota; Viridiplantae; Streptophyta; Magnoliopsida; Fabales; Fabaceae
Description: long non-coding RNA (VRAD_LNC018521)
Source: RNAcentral